UUCUAUUCGGUGAUCAACACUGAACACACAGGACUCGCCAUGGAGUUUGGACUGAGCUGGGUUUUCCUUGUUGCUAUUUUCAAAGGUGUCCAGUGUGAGGUGCAGCUGGUGGAGUCUGGGGGAGGCUUGGUACAGCCAGGGGCGUCCCUGAGACUCUGCUGUGCAGCCUCUGGAUUCACCUUCAGUAGCACCAGGAUGAACUGGAUCCGACAGUCUCCAGGGAAGAAGCUGGAGUGGGUGGCUGACAUAAAGUAUGAUGGAAGUGAGAAAUACUAUGUAGACUCUGUGAAGGGCCGAUUCACCAUCUCCAGAGACAAUGCCAAAAACUCCCUCUAUCUGCAAAUGAACAGCCUGAGAGCUGAGGACACAGCCGUGUAUUACUGUGUGAGAGACACAGUGAGGGGAGGUCAGUGUGAGCCCAGACACAAGCCUCCCUGCAGGGGCGUAUGGAACCACCAGGGGGUGCUCAGGUUACACAGAGGGCAGGUGCAGCCCCAGGGCAGCCAGCGCUUCCUGCUGGAGCUGGAUCCGCCAGUCCUCAGUCAAGGGAGUGGGUCGGGGCAUAGGUCACGAGGGAGCACAAAUUCUAACCCCCUCCUCACGAGCUCAGUCACCAUCUCCAGAUCCGUGUCCGAGUAUCGAAUUUUCUUGCAGCUGAGUUCUGUGACCAACUGCCACAAACUUGUAUUCUUGUGA
This is a non-coding RNA of Mandrillus leucophaeus (drill), 696 nucleotides long. NCBI's taxonomy places the organism in Eukaryota, Metazoa, Chordata, Mammalia, Primates, Cercopithecidae. The record is from the annotation of a RefSeq genome assembly.